This 253-nucleotide ribosomal RNA is filed under the name uncultured bacterium. RNAcentral describes it as "partial 16S ribosomal RNA". It matches the Rfam family "Bacterial small subunit ribosomal RNA", at positions 524 to 776 of the family's 1533-position model. The record is from RNAcentral.
GACAGAGGGUGCAAACGUUGUUCGGAAUUACUGGGCGUAAAGCGCGUGUAGGCUGCUCGGAAAGUCGGAUGUGAAAGCCCUGGGCUCAACCUAGGAAGUGCACUCGAAACUUCCGAGCUGGAGUGCUGGAGAGGAAGGCGGAAUUCUCGGUGUAGAGGUGAAAUUCGUAGAUAUCGAGAGGAACACCGGUGGCGAAGGCGGCCUUCUGGACAGCCACUGACGCUGAGACGCGAAAGCGUGGGGAGCAAACAGG